RNAcentral lists this ribosomal RNA (497 nucleotides) under uncultured bacterium. RNAcentral describes it as "partial 16S ribosomal RNA". It matches the Rfam family "Bacterial small subunit ribosomal RNA", at positions 28 to 507 of the family's 1533-position model. The record is from RNAcentral.
GAUGAACGCUGGCGGCGUGCCUAAUACAUGCAAGUCGAGCGAACAGACGAGGAGCUUGCUCCUCUGACGUUAGCGGCGGACGGGUGAGUAACACGUGGAUAACCUACCUAUAAGACUGGGAUAACUUCGGGACACCGGCGCUAAUACCGGAUAAUAUAUUGAACCGCAUGGUUCAAUAGUGAAAGACGGUUUUGCUGUCACUUAUAGAUGGAUCCGCGCCGCAUUAGCUAGUUGGUAAGGUAACGGCUUACCAAGGCAACGAUGCGUAGCCGACCUGAGAGGGUGAUCGGCCACACGGGAACUGGGACACGGUCCAGACUCCUACGGGAGGCAGCAGUAGGGAAUCUUCCGCAAUGGGCGAAAGCCUGACGGAGCAACGCCGCGUGAGUGAUGAAGGUCUUCGGAUCGUAAAACUCUGUUAUUAGGGAAGAACAAAUGUGUAAGUAACUAUGCACGUCUUGACGGUACCUAAUCAGAAAGCCACGGCUAACUACGUG